This 528-nucleotide ribosomal RNA is filed under the name uncultured bacterium. RNAcentral's name for it is "partial 16S ribosomal RNA". It matches the Rfam family "Bacterial small subunit ribosomal RNA", at positions 8 to 526 of the family's 1533-position model. The record is from RNAcentral.
AGAGUUUGAUCCUGGCUCAGAACGAACGCUGGCGGCGUGCCUAACACAUGCAAGUCGAGCGCGAAAGGAGCAAUCCGAGUAGAGCGGCGCACGGGUGCGUAACACGUGGGUAAUCUGCCCUUGAGUGUGGAAUAACCUUCCGAAAGGUCGGCUAAUGCCACAUGAGCUUGCGGAGGCUUCGGUCUCUGCAGGGAAAGCAGGCGCAAGCUUGCGCUCGAGGAUGAGCCCGCGGCCCAUCAGUUAGUUGGCGGGGUAAUGGCCCACCAAGACUACGAAGGGUAGCUGGUCUGAGAGGACGAUCAGCAGCCCGGUAACUGAGACACGGUCCAGACUCCUACGGGAGGCAGCAGUGGGGAAUUUUCCACAAUGGGCGAAGGCCUGAUGGAGCAACGCCGCGUGUGUGAUGAAGGUCUUCGGAUCGUAAAGCACUUUCGACCGGGACGAAAAUACCGUGGCUAAUAUCCACGGGACUGACGGUACCGGGAGAAGAAGCACCGGCUAACUCUGUGCCAGCAGCCGCGGUAAUAC